CAGCACGGUGGACUGAAGGCGGCCAAGGCGGCGUCGACGGUUCUGCUGAACAUGUUCCAGUACAACAAGCUUCACAAAGAUUACAAGCUGAAAGGAUUUACCAGAAGAGACUUCACAGAAGGCAGCGUGUGAAAGAGCUGGCCGUAAGCCCCCCACUGAGCCUGGGCUGGACCACCGAGAAGCAGAACACCCCAGAACGAUGACGUGAUGUUCAGCACACGGCAGACUUUGAGCUGACGAUGCAUACGACCCCGGUGGAAGAAGGCAAAACACGCUGACGCAAUUCAAGAGCUGAGUGACAGCUGUGUGAUAAUCUGAUAGUGAUUAACAGUGGAUAUUUCUCUCCUUUCACUCAAACCCCAAAAGGCACUUAACAAAGUUGACAUUCACUUUUUUUUGUAUUUGCUUACAUAGAUGUUAAAUAUGACCAAAUGUCUGAUUUCUGUUUAUUUUCCUGUGUAAUUUGAUUGACAUGUUAACAACAUACAAAUAGUUCAUAAUUCAUGGCUUACCUUUGCAAAAGAGGAAUCUUUUUAGGCUUCAAAUGUGUGUUCCCUUACAUUGAGGUACUACCUGAUCUAUGCAUAAAUAGAGGGGGAGGAGCAGGAGAUCAAUAGAU
This is a long non-coding RNA of Gadus morhua (Atlantic cod), 619 nucleotides long. RefSeq lists it as uncharacterized. The record is from RefSeq and is a predicted model, not a curated record. The transcript has 2 exons. NCBI's taxonomy places the organism in Eukaryota, Metazoa, Chordata, Actinopteri, Gadiformes, Gadidae.